AGGAUAUUAUCUGAGUAUUUGACAUAUGGAAUUAUUUUACAAUGGCUGGACUAUAGAUAUCUUCAUCUCCAGGCAGUUGAUUAAGAUCUUCAAAUAAACUUUUAGGAUUGAUAAACAUGAUGCCUUAAUCUUUUUGGCAUUUUCUCUCACAAUUUUACUCAGUUCGCAUUCCAGGAUUAUAAAUAAACUUGAUUGCUUCAUGGCUUACAUGGUCUGUUCUGAUUCAAAUGUUUCUUAUUAUUCCUUUUUGUUAAUCCAACCUUUUUUUUCCCUACGUUGUAGUCUUUGUGCAAUUCUAUCUCUAG
RNAcentral lists this unclassified non-coding RNA (305 nucleotides) under Hevea brasiliensis (rubber tree). The record is from RNAcentral. Lineage: Eukaryota; Viridiplantae; Streptophyta; Magnoliopsida; Malpighiales; Euphorbiaceae.